RNAcentral lists this unclassified non-coding RNA (358 nucleotides) under Acanthaster planci (crown-of-thorns starfish). Its description in RNAcentral is "sulfotransferase 1A1-like, transcript variant X1". Lineage: Eukaryota; Metazoa; Echinodermata; Asteroidea; Valvatida; Acanthasteridae. The record is from RNAcentral.
AACAAGUGAGCAGCAUGUCCCAUCUUGUCCAGCACAAAGGGCCGACACACGCGCAGUGAUUUUAAAUGUGCCGAGUUCACAGGCAACGCUGUGAUGCUGACGACAGGGAAUCGUUCGUUAUGUAUUGCUCGUGAGGACAGCUUUUACCUUGGGAUCAGGUAGAGACAGGAAUCUUGAGAACUGGAUGCAUGAGGCAGUGAAACAGAACUUAACUUCCCGGCCAGUAUCUGACCUGAGGACCUGAGAAUUAUUAUUGGAUAGUCAUACCGGAUCUGAAGAGUGCUGUACAACUGACUGCCGAUUUCUUAGAGCGACCCGUGACGCAAAAAGACAUACAGAAAAUUGUAGAGAAGUGCAG